CCCUUAGAUGUUCUGGGCCGCACGCGUGCUACACUGAGUGGAUCAGCGGGUCAGGUUGCGCGAAAGUGUUUCCUAAUCUUUAAAUCCGCUCGUGAUGGGGAUUGACGGUUGCAAUCUUCCGUCAUGAACGAGGAAUACCUUGUAAGCGCGGGUCAUCAUCCCGCGCUGAAUACGUCCCUGCCCUUUGUACACACCGCCCGUCGCUCCUACCGAUUGAGUGGUCCGGUGAGGCUUUGGGAUCUGGGCGGAAAGAGCGUUUCGCUGUUUCUGCCCGGAAAACUCAGUCGAACCUUAUCAUUUAGAGGAAGGAGAAGUCGUAACA
This 322-nucleotide ribosomal RNA is filed under the name uncultured eukaryote. RNAcentral's name for it is "partial 18S ribosomal RNA". It matches the Rfam family "Eukaryotic small subunit ribosomal RNA", at positions 1470 to 1796 of the family's 1831-position model. The record is from RNAcentral.